CCUACGGGAGGCAGCAGUGAGGAAUAUUGGUCAAUGGACGAGAGUCUGAACCAGCCAAGUAGCGUGAAGGAUGACUGCCCUAUGGGUUGUAAACUUCUUUUAUAUGGGAAUAAAACGUUCCACGUGUGGGAUUUUGUAUGUACCAUAUGAAUAAGGAUCGGCUAACUCCGUGCCAGCAGCCGCGGUAAUACGGAGGAUCCGAGCGUUAUCCGGAUUUAUUGGGUUUAAAGGGAGCGUAGGUGGAUUGUUAAGUCAGUUGUGAAAGUUUGCGGCUCAACCGUAGAAUUGCAGUUGAAACUGGCAGUCUUGAGUACAGUAGAGGUGGGCGGAAUUCGUGGUGGAGCGGUGAAAUGCUUAGAUAUCACGAAGAACGCCGAUUGCGAAGGCAGUUCACUGGACUGCAACUGACACUGAGGCUCGAAAGUGUGGGUAUCAAACAGGAUUAGAUACCCGUGUAGUC
Molecule: ribosomal RNA, 460 nt
Filed under: uncultured bacterium
Lineage: Bacteria
Description: partial 16S ribosomal RNA
Rfam family: Bacterial small subunit ribosomal RNA
Source: RNAcentral